AGAGAUAACGGUCAUAUUGACAGAGGAGUCAGGAGAUCUGAUUACCACCAGAGAGAGACCAGACUCUCACUCUGACAGCAGAAAGAGUUCUUCAGAGGAACCAGACAGAGAGAUGACCAAACCAGCGAGACGACACCACUGCUCCUACUGUGGAAAUAGUUUUACCCGAUUACAACAUCUGAAAGCACAUGAGAGAAUACAUACAGGAGAAAAGCCCUUCCACUGUUCCCAGUGUGAAAAGAGUGUUAGGUGGUUAACGAGUCUGAAAAAGCAUGAGAGGGGACACACACAAGAAAAGAUCUACCAAUGCUCCCUGUGUGAAAAAGAAAAGAUCUACCAAUGCUCCCUGUGUGAAAAGAGUUUUACCAAGUUAGGGGGCCUGACUAGGCAUGAGAGGACACCCAAAGGAGGGGAUAAGACGUACCACUGCUCCCAGUGUGGAAAGAGAUUUUCCCAGUCAGAGGACCUGAAAGCACAUGAGAGAAUAGAGAGACUGUGUUCUGACUUGUGUUUUUGACUGAGAAUUUGUGUUUUUGUUUGUCACAUUAAAUCAUAUUGUUUAAAUGAAAUCAGACAUGGAAAUCUGACCAAAACAACGGGCCUGUUUCUGUUGUUUUUCAUCUUGAUCUAAAAUCAAAUGAAAUAUUUUAAAAUGUGUAUUUCAUUUUUCAUUAUGAACUUUGAUUGGUUGUAUACAAGUAUUAGCCCUCUGAUGUUGUUCAUAAUAUGAUUUGGAUAUUGCUAAAUGUAAAUGAUUAUACACUGCUCAAAAAAAUAAAGGGAACACUUAAACAA
Salvelinus namaycush (lake trout) is the source of this 795-nucleotide long non-coding RNA. RefSeq lists it as uncharacterized. The transcript has 2 exons. The record is from RefSeq and is a predicted model, not a curated record. NCBI's taxonomy places the organism in Eukaryota, Metazoa, Chordata, Actinopteri, Salmoniformes, Salmonidae.